RNAcentral lists this ribosomal RNA (423 nucleotides) under uncultured Ruminococcus sp. Its description in RNAcentral is "bacterial SSU rRNA". It matches the Rfam family "Bacterial small subunit ribosomal RNA", at positions 355 to 794 of the family's 1533-position model. Lineage: Bacteria; Bacillati; Bacillota; Clostridia; Eubacteriales; Oscillospiraceae. The record is from RNAcentral.
UGGGGAAUAUUGCACAAUGGGCGCAAGCCUGAUGCAGCGAUGCCGCGUGAGGGAAGAAGGUUUUCGGAUUGUAAACCUCUGUCAUCAGGGACGAAAAAGGACGGUACCUGAGAAGGAAGCUCCGGCUAACUACGUGCCAGCAGCCGCGGUAAUACGUAGGUGGCAAGCGUUGUCCGGAAUUACUGGGUGUAAAGGGAGCGCAGGCGGGAAAUCAAGUUGGAUGUGAAAUGUCGGGGCUUAACCCCGGAACUGCAUCCAAAACUGAUAUUCUUGAGUGAAGUAGAGGUAGGCGGAAUUCCGAGUGUAGCGGUGAAAUGCGUAGAUAUUCGGAGGAACACCAGUGGCGAAGGCGGCCUACUGGGCUUUAACUGACGCUGAGGCUCGAAAGUGUGGGGAGCAAACAGGAUUAGAUACCCUGGUAGU